AGAGCGAACGCUGGCGGCAGGCUUAACACAUGCAAGUCGAGCGGGCGUAGCAAUACGUCAGCGGCAGACGGGUGAGUAACGCGUGGGAACGUACCUUUUGGUUCGGAACAACACAGGGAAACUUGUGCUAAUACCGGAUAAGCCCUUACGGGGAAAGAUUUAUCGCCGAAAGAUCGGCCCGCGUCUGAUUAGCUAGUUGGUGAGGUAACGGCUCACCAAGGCGACGAUCAGUAGCUGGUCUGAGAGGAUGAUCAGCCACAUUGGGACUGAGACACGGCCCAAACUCCUACGGGAGGCAGCAGUGGGGAAUAUUGGACAAUGGGCGCAAGCCUGAUCCAGCCAUGCCGCGUGAGUGAUGAAGGCCCUAGGGUUGUAAACCUCAAUCAAGCAGGGACGAUAAUGACGGUACCUGCAGUGAAGCUCCGGCCAACUACGUGCCAGCAGCCGC
Molecule: ribosomal RNA, 448 nt
Filed under: uncultured bacterium
Lineage: Bacteria
Description: SSU rRNA
Rfam family: Bacterial small subunit ribosomal RNA
Source: RNAcentral